AUGGCUCAGGACGAACGCUGGCGGCGCGCUUAACACAUGCAAGUCGAGCGAGAACCAGGACUUCGGUCCUGGGGACAGCGGCGAACGGGUGAGUAUCACGUGGAUAACCUGCCCUCGGCACCGGGAUAGCCCGGGAAACCCGGAUUAAUACCGGAUGGCCCUUCCGGCUCACGAGCCGGUCGGAAAAGGUAGCUUCGGCCUCCGGCCGAGGAUGGGUCCGCGGCGGAUUAGCUUGUUGGUGGGGUAACGGCCUACCAAGGCUCCGAUCCGUAGCUGGUCUGAGAGGACGAUCAGCCACACUGGGACUGAGACACGGCCCAGACUCCUACGGGAGGCAGCAGUGGGGAAUCUUGCGCAAUGGGCGAAAGCCUGACGCAGCGACGCCGCGUGAGGGAGGAAGGCCUUCGGGUUGUAAACCUCUUUCAGGAGGGACGAAGCUACUCGGGUGAAUAGCCCAGAGGGUGACGGUACCUCCAGAAGAAGCCCCGGCUAACUACGUGCCAGCAGCAGC
RNAcentral lists this ribosomal RNA (511 nucleotides) under uncultured bacterium. RNAcentral's name for it is "bacterial SSU rRNA". It matches the Rfam family "Bacterial small subunit ribosomal RNA", at positions 19 to 518 of the family's 1533-position model. The record is from RNAcentral.